GAUGAAGAACGUAGCGAAAUGGGAUAAGUAAUGUGAAUUGCAGAAUUCAGUGAAUCAUCGAAUCUUUGAACGCACAUUGCGCCCAUUAGUAUUCUAGUGGGCAUGCCUGUUCGAGCGUCAUUAAUUCCACUUAAGCCCUGCUUAGUGUUGGGAAUCUACUCUAGUGGUGCUACCCUGGAGCUACCCCUGAAAGGGGGCUGGCCCGGUAGCUACCCUGUAGUUCCUCAAAGAUAGUGCGCGGAGUUGCGUGGUCCUCUGAGCUUAGUAACUAUACACCUAGCUUUUGAGUGUCCCGCGGCGCCUGCCGUUUAAACCCCAUCUUUUAAUGGUUGACCUCGGAUCAGGUAGGAAUACCCGCUGAACUUAAGCAUAUCAAUAAGCGGAGGA
RNAcentral lists this unclassified non-coding RNA (387 nucleotides) under soil metagenome. RNAcentral describes it as "partial contains 5.8S ribosomal RNA, internal transcribed spacer 2, and large subunit ribosomal RNA". The stretch from base 1 to 120 matches the Rfam family "5.8S ribosomal RNA", at positions 35 to 154 of the family's 154-position model. The record is from RNAcentral.